Molecule: ribosomal RNA, 343 nt
Filed under: Cotesia sp. HD-028
Lineage: Eukaryota; Metazoa; Arthropoda; Insecta; Hymenoptera; Braconidae
Description: partial 28S ribosomal RNA
Source: RNAcentral
CGAAUGAGGAGAUUCAUCGUCAGCUUAUUCAGUAUUAAUGCAGGCUAUGAUGUGAUAAUAGAAUCCUUGUGGUCACUAGAUUAUACUUGCUUGUAUUAUUUUUGCUGGGUAUGUCGGCGUGCACUUCUCCUCUAGUAGAACGUCGCAACCCGUUGGAUGUUUAUCUAUGGCUUGAAUGGUAGCCUUUGAUAUUUUUUAUAUUGAAGACCUUCGAUGUCCUGAUAAACUGUUUGACGGUAUACAUAUGGUAUUGAGCCGCAAUUAUUUGCGUUAGACUUGCCGCAAGUAUGACUUUAUUCUAGUAGUGCGGAUCUAAUGCCGUCGCUGGACAAAGUCUGCUGUU